GCUUGGGCUGCUUUAAUGGUAGUCUUUACUUUUUCUCUUUCACUAGUAGUAUGGGGAAGGAGUGGACUCUAGGGAUACUACUAAUUGAUUAAGUAUUCAAAUUGUUGUAUCAAUUCUUUUUUUUAA
This 126-nucleotide ribosomal RNA is filed under the name Triticum aestivum (bread wheat). RNAcentral describes it as "partial small subunit ribosomal RNA". Lineage: Eukaryota; Viridiplantae; Streptophyta; Magnoliopsida; Poales; Poaceae. The record is from RNAcentral.